AGGGCUGGAGCCAGCAGGUGGGGGCAAGGUAGACAUGAAGCAGUUCUGCUCUAGGGCAGGCGAGCUUGCCACGUGCUCUGGUUCCCUAUCUCAAAACCGUGCCUGUCGCCGCCUGCUACCCACCUCUUCAUUCCUCAUCAUCCCUGCCCAGCAGCCACCUGCUUUCCCAGCUCCACUUCCCCACCUCCCAUCCCUCCCCAGCCGCUGCCCCCACCGGCUGCUCUCGCCAUCCCUGAAGCUGGCUCACCGAGGUCGCUUUCAUCUCCUUGUCACAUCCAGUCCAAGAAACAGGUGAAGGAACCAGGGCUCAAGGCAAUAAGGGCCUCCUCAAGAUGCCUCAGCAGCAGGGAUGCUCUGGACAAAAACCCCAGUUUGCUGCUUUGCCCUCAACUCCAGCCCGCUGUCUGGCUGCCGCGCCUCUCUGGCCCCUCCUCAGCUUCCUUGGUCAACAGGAGUCCUGCUGUGUCUGACCCCAGAGCGCACCUGUAACUGCUUUCCACCGAGAGGUCACACUCGUGCCUGACACUUGACGUGUCUGCAUCUGAGCUCGGCUGUCCCUUAACGUGCUGUGUACCUGGAGGCAAGUGAUUGAACGUCUGAACCGUGGUUAUUAUCAACUUGCCCAGAGCCUGCCCUCCUCCUGUGCUAACUAGUUCAAUAAACAGCCCUGCCACCUUCCCGUCAGCAGGGGAUGCACAAGACUCUUCCGUCUCCCAUGUUCAUCGAGACGUGGUGACUUUGUGCUCUAAAAAGCACAGCUCUUCGAGCUGGUGGUUAC
Non-coding RNA from Vicugna pacos (alpaca), 778 nucleotides. Lineage: Eukaryota; Metazoa; Chordata; Mammalia; Artiodactyla; Camelidae. The record is from RefSeq and is a predicted model, not a curated record.